Long non-coding RNA from Amphiprion ocellaris (clown anemonefish), 323 nucleotides. Lineage: Eukaryota; Metazoa; Chordata; Actinopteri; Pomacentridae. The record is from Ensembl.
CGGAUGGUACAGGUGCUCAGUUAAGGGAUGGACUUGAACUCUGUUGUUGAGCCGUAUCCCUGCAUCCACAUCUCAGCAAUUAACAGAGCUGUUGUGCAGGCUCCCUGAUCAUCUGACAGCUUUCAGAGACAAGAGGAGGACGAUCCACAGAGAUUACCGCCUGUGUUCCAGCGCAGGCCCCAGAACUUAUCCCGUGGUACACUACAAGUCACCACUCCAUUAUUUAUACCCUCUACAAACAUCAAAAAAGGUUUUCUCGGCCAAGUGUCAUGCGGUGUCGAUUGUAUUCGUGAGUGCAAUAACACAGGAAGCUUCAAAUGGAC